RNAcentral lists this ribosomal RNA (1462 nucleotides) under Thonalmus hubbardi. RNAcentral's name for it is "SSU rRNA". It matches the Rfam family "Eukaryotic small subunit ribosomal RNA", at positions 406 to 1781 of the family's 1831-position model. Lineage: Eukaryota; Metazoa; Arthropoda; Insecta; Coleoptera; Lycidae. The record is from RNAcentral.
GCUACCACAUCCAAGGAAGGCAGCAGGCGCGCAAAUUACCCACUCCCGGCACGGGGAGGUAGUGACGAAAAAUAACGAUACGGGACUCAUCCGAGGCCCCGUAAUCGGAAUGAGAACAAUUUAAAUCCUUUAACGAGGAUCAAUUGGAGGGCAAGUCUGGUGCCAGCAGCCGCGGUAAUUCCAGCUCCAAUAGCGUAUAUUAAAGUUGUUGCGGUUAAAAAGCUCGUAGUCGAAUCUGUGUCCCGCGCCGCCGGUUCGUCGCUCGCGGCGUUUAACUGGCGUGUCCGCGGGACGUCCUGCCGGUGGGCUUAGCUCCUCCUUUGGGGCGGCCCAAUCAUAAUCCCGCCGCGGUGCUCUUCACCGAGUGUCGAGGCGGGCCGGCACGUUUACUUUGAACAAAUUAGAGUGCUUAAAGCAGGCUAAAACUUUGCCUGAAUACUUCGUGCAUGGAAUAAUGGAAUAGGACCUCGGUUCUAUUUUGUUGGUUUUCGGAACCCCGAGGUAAUGAUUAAUAGGAACGGAUGGGGGCAUUCGUAUUGCGACGUUAGNGNUGAAAUUUCUUGGAUCGUCGCAAGACGGACAGAAGCGAAAGCAUUUGCCAAAAACGUUUUCAUUGAUCAAGAACGAAAGUUAGAGGUUCGAAGGCGAUCAGAUACCGCCCUAGUUCUAACCAUAAACGAUGCCAGCUAGCGAUCCGCCGAAGUUCCUCCGAUGACUCGGCGGGCAGCUUCCGGGAAACCAAAGCUUUUGGGUUCCGGGGGAAGUAUGGUUGCAAAGCUGAAACUUAAAGGAAUUGACGGAAGGGCACCACCAGGAGUGGAGCCUGCGGCUUAAUUUGACUCAACACGGGAAACCUCACCAGGCCCGGACACCGGAAGGAUUGACAGAUUGAGAGCUCUUUCUUGAUUCGGUGGGUGGUGGUGCAUGGCCGUUCUUAGUUGGUGGAGCGAUUUGUCUGGUUAAUUCCGAUAACGAACGAGACUCUGGCCUGCUAACUAGGCGUAUUUCCGACAUCUCGAAGGCCCGCCGGCCUGGUGCGCUCGCGCGCCGAGUCGUGCGCGGUUUUUACUGUCGGCGUACAAACAAUUCUUCUUAGAGGGACAGGCGGCUUCUAGCCGCACGAGAUAGAGCAAUAACAGGUCUGUGAUGCCCUUAGAUGUUCUGGGCCGCACGCGCGCUACACUGAAGGAAUCAGCGUGUCCUCCCUGGCCGAGCGGCCCGGGUAACCCGCUGAACCUCCUUCGUGCUAGGGAUUGGGGCUUGCAAUUGUUCCCCAUGAACGAGGAAUUCCCAGUAAGCGCGAGUCAUAAGCUCGCGUUGAUUACGUCCCUGCCCUUUGUACACACCGCCCGUCGCUACUACCGAUUGAAUGAUUUAGUGAGGUCUUCGGACCGGCACGCGGUGGCGUUUCGACGUCGCCGAUGCUGCUGGAAAGAUGACCAAACUUGAUCAUUUAGAGGAA